GGGGCAUAAACGGUCAGACCGGGUGUUAAAUUCUGUAUUAGGCAGCGCCCGGCACGAGGGUUCGAUUCCCUCAUGCUCCA
RNAcentral lists this transfer RNA (80 nucleotides) under Podoviridae sp. ctU557. Its description in RNAcentral is "tRNA-OTHER". Lineage: Duplodnaviria; Heunggongvirae; Uroviricota; Caudoviricetes. The record is from RNAcentral.